UUGGAGGGCAAGUCUGGUGCCAGCAGCCGCGGUAAUUCCAGCUCCAAUAGCGUAUAUUAAAGUUGUUGCAGUUAAAAAGCUCGUAGUUGAACUUCGAGAUCAAUUUAUUGGUCGUGCUAUUGUACGUACUGGUAUUAUUGAUUCCUACCUUCUGACGAACCAUGAUGUCAUUAAUUUGGUGUCAUGGGGAAUCAGGACUGUUACUUUGAAAAAAUUAGAGUGUUUAAAGCAGGC
Molecule: ribosomal RNA, 234 nt
Filed under: uncultured fungus
Lineage: Eukaryota; Fungi
Description: partial 18S ribosomal RNA
Rfam family: Eukaryotic small subunit ribosomal RNA
Source: RNAcentral